RNAcentral lists this ribosomal RNA (253 nucleotides) under uncultured bacterium. RNAcentral describes it as "partial 16S ribosomal RNA". It matches the Rfam family "Bacterial small subunit ribosomal RNA", at positions 524 to 776 of the family's 1533-position model. The record is from RNAcentral.
UACGUAGGUGGCAAGCGUUGUUCGGAAUUAUUGGGCGUAAAGGGCGCGUAGGCGGUUUGUUAAGUCAGUUGUGAAAGCCCGGGGCUCAACCUGGGAACCGCGCUUGAGACUGGAGAACUAGAGUUCGGGAGAGGAUGGUGGAAUUCCCAGUGUAGAGGUGAAAUUCGUAGAUAUUGGGAAGAACACCGGUGGCGAAGGCGGCUCUCUGGACCGAGACUGACGCUGAGGCGCGAAAGCGUGGGGAGCAAACAGG